Molecule: ribosomal RNA, 391 nt
Filed under: uncultured bacterium
Lineage: Bacteria
Description: partial 16S ribosomal RNA
Rfam family: Bacterial small subunit ribosomal RNA
Source: RNAcentral
UGGGGAAUAUUGCACAAUGGGCGCAAGCCUGAUGCAGCCAUGCCGCGUGUGUGAAGAAGGCCUUCGGUUGUAAGCACUUUCAGCGAGGAGGAAGGUGGUGGACUUAAUACGUUCAUCAAUUGACGUUACUCGCAGAAGAAGCACCGGCUAACUCCGUGCCAGCAGCCGCGGUAAUACGGAGGGUGCAAGCGUUAAUCGGAAUUACUGGGCGUAAAGCGCACGCAGGCGGUUUGUUAAGUCAGAUGUGAAAUCCCCGGGCUCAACCUGGGAACUGCAUUUGAAACUGGCAAGCUAGAGUCUCGUAGAGGGGGGUAGAAUUCCAGGUGUAGCGGUGAAAUGCGUAGAGAUCUGGAGGAAUACCGGUGGCGAAGGCGGCCCCCUGGACGAAGAC